GAUGAACGCUAGCGGCAGGCCUAAUACAUGCAAGUCGAACGGGAUCCAGAUCAAAGCUUGCUUUGGUUUGGUGAGAGUGGCGCACGGGUGCGUAACGCGUGAGCAACCUACCCUUGUCAGGGGGAUAGCCCGGCGAAAGUCGGAUUAAUACCGCAUGACAUCAUUGAGAGGCAUCUUUCGAUGAUCAAAGAUUUAUCGGACAAGGAUGGGCUCGCGUGACAUUAGCUAGUUGGUAAGGUAACGGCUUACCAAGGCUACGAUGUCUAGGGGCUCUGAGAGGAGACUCCCCCACACUGGUACUGAGACACGGACCAGACUCCUACGGGAGGCAGCAGUAAGGAAUAUUGGUCAAUGGACGGAAGUCUGAACCAGCCAUGCCGCGUGCAGGAAGACGGCCCUAUGGGUUGUAAACUGCUUUUAUACGGGAACAAACGUCGGUACGUGUACCGGUCUGAGUGUACCGUAAGAAUAAGGAUCGGCUAACUCCGUG
Molecule: ribosomal RNA, 490 nt
Filed under: uncultured bacterium
Lineage: Bacteria
Description: partial 16S ribosomal RNA
Rfam family: Bacterial small subunit ribosomal RNA
Source: RNAcentral